GACGAACGCUGGCGGCGUGCCUAAUACAUGCAAGUCGAGCGAACAGAAGGGAGCUUGCUCCCGGAUGUUAGCGGCGGACGGGUGAGUAACACGUGGGUAACCUGCCUGUAAGACUGGGAUAACUCCGGGAAACCGGAGCUAAUACCGGAUAGUUCCUUGAACCGCAUGGUUCAAGGAUGAAAGACGGUUUCGGCUGUCACUUACAGAUGGACCCGCGGCGCAUUAGCUAGUUGGUGGGGUAAUGGCUCACCAAGGCGACGAUGCGUAGCCGACCUGAGAGGGUGAUCGGCCACACUGGGACUGAGACACGGCCCAGACUCCUACGGGAGGCAGCAGUAGGGAAUCUUCCGCAAUGGACGAAAGUCUGACGGAGCAACGCCGCGUGAGUGAUGAAGGUUUUCGGAUCGUAAAGCUCUGUUGUUAGGGAAGA
Molecule: ribosomal RNA, 430 nt
Filed under: Bacillus sp. R-26388
Lineage: Bacteria; Bacillati; Bacillota; Bacilli; Caryophanales; Bacillaceae
Description: bacterial SSU rRNA
Rfam family: Bacterial small subunit ribosomal RNA
Source: RNAcentral